RNAcentral lists this ribosomal RNA (253 nucleotides) under uncultured bacterium. RNAcentral's name for it is "partial 16S ribosomal RNA". It matches the Rfam family "Bacterial small subunit ribosomal RNA", at positions 524 to 776 of the family's 1533-position model. The record is from RNAcentral.
UACAGAGGGUGCAAGCGUUGCUCGGAAUUACUGGGCGUAAAGCGUGCGCAGACGGCAAGGCAGGUCGGGUGUGAAAGCCCUGGGCUCAACCCAGGAAUUGCAUUCGAAACCAUCUCGCUCGAGUAUGGGAGAGGGGAGCGGAAUUCCUGGUGUAGAGGUGAAAUUCGUAGAUAUCAGGAGGAACACCGGCGGCGAAGGCGGCUCCCUGGCCCAUUACUGACGUUCAGGCACGAAAGCGUGGGGAGCAAACAGG